This 280-nucleotide long non-coding RNA is filed under the name Mytilus galloprovincialis (Mediterranean mussel). The record is from RNAcentral. Lineage: Eukaryota; Metazoa; Mollusca; Bivalvia; Mytilida; Mytilidae.
AGAGUGCAUUUGUUUCUAACCCGAAAUUUUGCCAUCGAUGACUAUCGUUUAGUAAACGUUAAGCUGCUAGAAACAAAUACAUCGUUUAAUAAACUUUAUCGACCCCGCGUAGUCAGACAGAAAUAGAUUACACUCACGCACUGUAAACAAACAGGUAAAAGUGCGGGAAAUAAAUAACCAGGACAUUAUGAAAACAACACGUGCUCGUAAUUAUUUAAACGACAGAUGCAGAAACAAAUUUAUCGUUUACACGUCUCAACGAUAAACGAUCAACGACUAC